Molecule: ribosomal RNA, 445 nt
Filed under: Bacillus licheniformis
Lineage: Bacteria; Bacillati; Bacillota; Bacilli; Caryophanales; Bacillaceae
Description: bacterial SSU rRNA
Rfam family: Bacterial small subunit ribosomal RNA
Source: RNAcentral
GGCGUGCCUAAUACAUGCAAGUCGAGCGGACCGACGGGAGCUUGCUCCCUUAGGUCAGCGGCGGACGGGUGAGUAACACGUGGGUAACCUGCCUGUAAGACUGGGAUAACUCCGGGAAACCGGGGCUAAUACCGGAUGCUUGAUUGAACCGCAUGGUUCAAUCAUAAAAGGUGGCUUUUAGCUACCACUUACAGAUGGACCCGCGGCGCAUUAGCUAGUUGGUGAGGKAACGGCUCACCAAGGCGACGAUGCGUAGCCGACCUGAGAGGGUGAUCGGCCACACUGGGACUGAGACACGGCCCAGACUCCUACGGGAGGCAGCAGUAGGGAAUCUUCCGCAAUGGACGAAAGUCUGACGGAGCAACGCCGCGUGAGUGAUGAAGGUUUUCGGAUCGUAAAACUCUGUUGUUAGGGRAGAACAAGUACCGUUCGAAUAGGGCGGYAC